UGGAGGACUGAGAAGGUAAGACGGUUUGACUUGAUGCUGUAUCUUACUGGUUAUGGCCUCCGACAUUAUAGCAGUGCAAUAGCAACUCACGUUUCCCUCCCUGCUAUGAGGGGAAGCAGUACUGCAUUUG
Small nucleolar RNA from Callipepla squamata (scaled quail), 130 nucleotides. It matches the Rfam family "Small nucleolar RNA SNORA47". Lineage: Eukaryota; Metazoa; Chordata; Aves; Galliformes; Odontophoridae. The record is from Rfam.